Molecule: ribosomal RNA, 1343 nt
Filed under: uncultured bacterium
Lineage: Bacteria
Description: 16S ribosomal RNA
Rfam family: Bacterial small subunit ribosomal RNA
Source: RNAcentral
GACGAACGCUUUCGGCGUGCUUAACACAUGCAAGUCGAACGGAAAGGCCCUGCUUUUGUGGGGUGCUCGAGUGGCGAACGGGUGAGUAACACGUGAGUAACCUGCCCUUGACUUUGGGAUAACUUCAGGAAACUGGGGCUAAUACCGGAUAGGAGCUCCUGCUGCAAGGUGGGGGUUGGAAAGUUUCGGCGGUUGGGGAUGGACUCGCGGCUUAUCAGCUUGUUGGUGGGGUAGUGGCUUACCAAGGCUUUGACGGGUAGCCGGCCUGAGAGGGUGACCGGCCACAUUGGGACUGAGAUACGGCCCAGACUCCUACGGGAGGCAGCAGUGGGGAAUAUUGCACAAUGGGCGGAAGCCUGAUGCAGCAACGCCGCGUGCGGGAUGACGGCCUUCGGGUUGUAAACCGCUUUCGCCUGUGACGAAGCGUGAGUGACGGUAAUGGGUAAAGAAGCACCGGCUAACUACGUGCCAGCAGCCGCGGUGAUACGUAGGGUGCGAGCGUUGUCCGGAUUUAUUGGGCGUAAAGGGCUCGUAGGUGGUUGAUCGCGUCGGAAGUGUAAUCUUGGGGCUUAACCCUGAGCGUGCUUUCGAUACGGGUUGACUUGAGGAAGGUAGGGGAGAAUGGAAUUCCUGGUGGAGCGGUGGAAUGCGCAGAUAUCAGGAGGAACACCAGUGGCGAAGGCGGUUCUCUGGGCCUUUCCUGACGCUGAGGAGCGAAAGCGUGGGGAGCGAACAGGCUUAGAUACCCUGGUAGUCCACGCUGUAAACGGUGGGUACUAGGUGUGGGGUCCAUUCCACGGGUUCCGUGCCGUAGCUAACGCUUUAAGUACCCCGCCUGGGGAGUACGGCCGCAAGGCUAAAACUCAAAGGAAUUGACGGGGCCCCGCACAAGCGGCGGAGCAUGCGGAUUAAUUCGAUGCAACGCGUAGAACCUUACCUGGGUUUGACAUGGAUCGGGAGUGCUCAGAGAUGGGUGUGCCUCUUUUGGGGUCGGUUCACAGGUGGUGCAUGGCUGUCGUCAGCUCGUGUCGUGAGAUGUUGGGUUAAGUCCCGCAACGAGCGCAACCCUUGUUCACUGUUGCCAGCACGUUAUGGUGGGGACUCAGUGGAGACCGCCGGGGUCAACUCGGAGGAAGGUGGGGAUGACGUCAAGUCAUCAUGCCCCUUAUGUCCAGGGCUUCACGCAUGCUACAAUGGCUGGUACAGAGAGUGGCGAGCCUGUGAGGGUGAGCGAAUCUCGGAAAGCCGGUCUCAGUUCGGAUUGGGGUCUGCAACUCGACCUCAUGAAGUCGGAGUCGCUAGUAAUCGCAGAUCAGCAACGCUGCGGUGAAUACGUUCCCGGG